This is a long non-coding RNA of Musa acuminata AAA Group (dessert banana), 572 nucleotides long. RefSeq lists it as uncharacterized. The record is from RefSeq and is a predicted model, not a curated record. The transcript has 2 exons. Lineage: Eukaryota; Viridiplantae; Streptophyta; Magnoliopsida; Zingiberales; Musaceae.
UACUUCAGGCUUAACUAUUUGUUUUUACUCGAAUUUUAUGGUUUCAUCACACUAGUAUAACCUGUGAAAUGUGGUCAACUCUUAUUUAUUAUAUUCAAUAACUAUCCGUAAAACCUACUCGGGCUUCAGAGGAUGAUAAUUCUUGGAAUCAGCUGUGUUAUGGCCCCUACUAUAUAUAUAUAUCAGGACUCUUUUAAGAAUGUACCUCAUAUUUUAUUGCCCUAAAAAUCACAGACCAAUCAAUAUAGCAUGAGCAGCAAUGGAAAAGUAACAUAUAACGACCUGGUUAGUCGAGUUCUUUUGCAACUAUCUGAUCUGGUUGUAAUAUUUGGACUAAAUUUGCCAAAUAUUCUGAUAACAAAUCUUGAACUUGUAAUGUUGACUGUAAUGGAGGAAGACAUGCUCUCAUGGAUUUUGUUGUCAUGACUUUGGACAUUGAGGUCUGCAAGCUAUUUGUCCAUUUUGGACUAUGGUCUGCAUGGUUUUUGGUUUUGUCCCCAUGUUAACUCAGGCAUGGGAAGUAGUGAGGUUUGGUAGACAAUGUAAGUUUCAUAAAUAAAAAAUCAUACUUU